UACGAAGGGGGCUAGCGUUGCUCGGAUUCACUGGGCGUAAAGGGUGCGCAGGCGGCCGUGUGUGUGAGGCGUGAAAGCCCGGGGCUUAACCCCGGAAUUGCACCUCAAACUACAUGGCUAGAGCAUUGGAGAGGGUAGCGGAAUUCACGGUGUAGCAGUGAAAUGCGUAGAUAUCGUGAGGAACACCAGAGGCGAAGGCGGCUACCUGGACAAUUGCUGACGCUCAGGCACGAAAGCGUGGGGAGCAAAAGGG
Molecule: ribosomal RNA, 253 nt
Filed under: uncultured bacterium
Lineage: Bacteria
Description: partial 16S ribosomal RNA
Rfam family: Bacterial small subunit ribosomal RNA
Source: RNAcentral